RNAcentral lists this ribosomal RNA (551 nucleotides) under uncultured bacterium. Its description in RNAcentral is "partial 16S ribosomal RNA". It matches the Rfam family "Bacterial small subunit ribosomal RNA", at positions 355 to 905 of the family's 1533-position model. The record is from RNAcentral.
UGAGGAAUAUUGGUCAAUGGGCGAGAGCCUGAACCAGCCAAAUCGCGUGAAGGAAGACUGCCUUAUGGGUUGUAAACUUCUUUUAUACAGGAAUAAAAAAGGGGACGUGUCCCUUAUUGCAUGUACUGUAUGAAUAAGCAUCGGCUAACUCCGUGCCAGCAGCCGCGGUAAUACGGAGGAUGCGAGCGUUAUCCGGAUUUAUUGGGUUUAAAGGGUGCGCAGGCGGGCUUUUAAGUCAGCGGUGAAAUCUCGGGGCUUAACUCCGAAACUGCCGUUGAAACUGGGAGUCUUGAGUAUGGAUGAAGUAGGCGGAAUUCGUUGUGUAGCGGUGACAUGCUUAGAUAUAACGAGGAACUCCGAUUGCGUAGGCAGCUUACUAAGCCAUAACUGACGCUCAAGCACGAAAGCGUGGGGAUCAAAUCAGGAUUAGAUACCCUGGUAGUCCACGCCGUAAACGAUGAUUACUAGUUGUAUGCGAUAUACCGUAUGUGACUAAGCGAAAGCGAUAAGUAAUCCACCUGGGGAGUACGCCGGCAACGGUGAAACUCAAA